UACGUAGGGGGCGAGCGUUGCCCGAAUUUACUGGGCGUAAAGCGCACGUAGGCGGCUUCGUAAGUCUGGUGUGAAAUCUCACGGCUCAACCGAGAGGCUGCACCAGAUACUGCGAAGCUCGAGGACGGGAGAGGAGAUCGGAAUUCCCGGUGUAGCGGUGAAAUGCAUUGAUAUCGGGAGGAGCACCAGUGGCGAAGGCGGAUCUCUGGCCCGUUGCUGACGAUGAGGUGCGAAAGCUGGGGGAGCGAAAGGG
RNAcentral lists this ribosomal RNA (253 nucleotides) under uncultured bacterium. Its description in RNAcentral is "partial 16S ribosomal RNA". It matches the Rfam family "Bacterial small subunit ribosomal RNA", at positions 524 to 776 of the family's 1533-position model. The record is from RNAcentral.